Molecule: long non-coding RNA, 7389 nt
Filed under: Malus domestica (apple)
Lineage: Eukaryota; Viridiplantae; Streptophyta; Magnoliopsida; Rosales; Rosaceae
Description: long non-coding RNA (MDOM_LNC005737)
Source: RNAcentral
GGUUUUGAAGGCACCAUUGUGCACGUAAGGACCUUACGAACUCACCCAUACCCAUUUCAGGUAAGAAACCUUUCGAUUUCACGUUGAAAACUCGAGGUCCGAUUUGAGUACUAUUCAUGAACUUUGUAAUGGUUGGUUUUUAGGACAAUCCAAGCCCACAGUGAGCUUUAGGAGGUUCUCACGAAGCUCGGGGACGUUCGUUUGAAGGUUUUGGACGUCGGGAUCACAAGGUUCGAAGGUGGCUGGUUUUGGUGAAAUUUCCUAACGUGAUUUCGAAGGAUUUGGAAGUUUUUAAAGGUAUAGCCUUCUUCCUCUCGUAAUUUGUGAAGUUUUGGUGAAAAUUUCAUGGAAAAUGGUUGAGAAUCGAGCGAGAAAAUGACGAUUACAGGUCUGCCCAGUUUCCGGGGCCGACGAGUUUUUCCAGCGUCUGAAGGAAGGAGAUGACGGACGUGGGGGGCGCGUAGACCCAUGCCUAUCCCGGCGCGUGGGGGCGUGUGCAGCAUCGAAUUUUUUUUAAAAAAAUACCUCGACACCCCUGGCGUCGAGUAUGUCACUGUGGUAUAUUCAUAUACCCAAUUUGAGCAUCGUAUGAGAAGUUAUUACGUAUUGUCGGUUAUGUGCUUUAAAUAACAUUUUUAUAGUUUUUUUGCAUAUAGGUGAUACCUAUCCCGAGGACGAGCGCAUUCAAGGACGUCACGGGGGUUACGACCCUUCGACUUACCAGUCAAUGGGCAGUAUUUUCUGUAUUUACCUAUAUACUAUUGAUUUUUCCCAGAAAUUAAAUUUAAAUGAAAAUAUGUUUUAAAAUGCCAUGCAUACAUAUAUAUGAAAUAUAUGAAUUGGUAAUUGUUGCAUAUAUAUGUUAAAUGGUGAUGUGGACGCACAGGUGAGUAUCAAGUUAAUCAUAUGAUUUAUUGUGAUGUGAAUUGUAUUGAAAGCUCAAACAUGCACCCCUGGUGUUAGUGCUUAUAUUUCACCCUGCACCACACGCUCACCUUGGAUCCAAAUAGGUGCAUGUCGUAUAGACCAUUAGAGGGUUCCGACAUGUCGUACAAACCAUGAGAGGUGGUUCCGACUUGUAGGUGACUUUAGAUUAUUAUACAGUUGUUGAUGAGAGAAGCACUAGAGCGUAUUGUUACACCAUUCUUGUCGUACAGACUACUUCAGGUAGUUCCGAUUUAUGUGCAGAGUAGUGCCGUACAAGUCACCGUUAGUGACUCCGGUUGGAUUGGAUAUUGAGCUAUAGAAUUAACCGUACAAGACCAACUGCAGGGUCUCCGGUUGAUUGCUUAUUUCACCUGUUGUAAUGUUGCAUCCUUAUUCUGUUAUUGACGCUUAUAGCAUAUCAUACUUUCUGGUUUUUGAUAAAGAUUGGUGAUUUGAGAUAUUUGAAAAAUUAUAUGCAUAUUAUGUUAUUUUCUGGGAAAGUAUACAGGUUUUACAGCGAGGGGUUAGAAAUGUUAUUAAAUGAAGUGUUUUCAAAAAGCUUUGUUUUACUGACCCACUCAAUUUUGUUUUGCACCCCUCCAGGUUCUAGUUAGCGGUGUGGUGGCUCACGAGGAUUCCCACGACAUUCUGAUAGACUACAUAAAUGUAGGACUCACCUUCGGGUGUUGUAAUUUAGUAAUGUUCCUACUUGACUACACCUAGUACUUAUGCUCUGAAUAUGUGUGUUUCACACUUAAACUUACUCUAGCAUGCUAAUUGGAUAUUAUUGCUAGUAGUUGGUUUUUAUUCCUUCGUAUUUCUCUUAUCUUUUGCUUCUGCAUCGCACUUUUGGUUAUGUCACGCUCACAUGACGGCCAGCACGCCUUGAUUCUAGGAUCAGGGUGUGUCAGUUUUGUAUCAGAGCCUAGGUUUGCAGUGCUGUAGAAAUUGUUAAUGCUCUAAUGAUCUUUUGGUGUCUUCUGUCACAACUAUGCUGCCUCGUAGGGAAUCACGUCGUACUUCUGAGCCUAAUUUCCCUGAUAUAACUCAAUUAGGGGAAGCGAUGGCCCAUGCCUUUCAGAAUGCAAUUUGUCCUCUUCCUCCUCAGAGAACACCCCUGGAGACUAUGUAUAAUCUAAAAUUAGACCGCUUCAUGGGUCAUGAGGGUCAUGAAGGGGCAGAAAAGUGGUUAGACCAUAUUGAGAAGGCUUUUGAGGUGAUGCAAAGUCUAGGGAAUCUUCCUGCUAGUAGAUGGGUUGAGACCACUAGUUGGUUUUUAGGAUGAGAGCUAGCAGCUUGGUGGGUAAAUCAAACUCAGUUUAUGUCACCUGAAGAGGCAGCUAAUUGGGAAGUAUUCAAAGAGAAUUUUAAGAAAAGAUUUGUUCCUCCGGAGUACAUUGAUCGUAAGAAGCAGGAGUUCACUCAAUUGAAGCAAAAGAAUAUGUCGGCGCAUGAGUAUUACAGGAAGUUUACAGACUUAUCUCGCUAUGAUCCUGAUACAGCUGGUAAUCAGGUAGAGAUGCUUUGCCGUUUUAAGUUGGGAACUAAGAGGAAAUGGCGGACAUUUGCUAGUGCGAUUCCUUGCACCACUUAUCAAGAGUUUUCUGAGAUUUUAGUUCGGAUGGAGGAUUCCGACAACCUUCCUAGUAAUAGUGAGGAUGAUGAAGAUAAGAAUGAUAAUCAGAAGAAAGAUGAUAGAGGUAAAGGUAUCUCCACUCAGGGACCCCGUAAGACACAGAAUUUCAAGAGAAGUGGAGCGAACUCGAGUUCUUCCAGCAGAGGAUUUAGUGUCACAGGCCCGAGAAGAGGUGGAAGGUUUACUGGUGGACCCAGGUUUCAGAAGCAGAGAGACUUUGGUGGUGCUGAUGGUUCUGGUGCUCCGUUAUGCCGCCGUUGUAAUUUCAGACAUCAUGGAGAGUGUAGGAGAAGUGGUGGUGGUUGCUACACUUGUGGACAGAUGGGAUAUAGAGCUGCUCAGUGUCCCUAGAGUCAGUAGAGCUUUCAGCAGUCUGCUAUGCCACCUCCAGCGCUGAUUCAGCAGAACUUUGGUCAGGCAGUUAUGGUUAGAUGGGUCGUGGUGAUGCUUACCACUAUCAGCGUGAUGCUGCUCCUUAUGCUUCCUGACAGUAUCAGUAUUCUCAGGAUCCUUAUUUUCAGACUGGGUAUUCCCAAGAUCCUAGAGGUUAUACUUCAUAUCCUUCCAUACCAGCUAGUGGAUCUCAAUGGUAUCAGGGAGGUUAGCCCCGACAGGGAGAGGUUGCUGCUAGUAAUGCAGGACCAUCUAGGCAGUUUAGCCAGACAGGACAUGGACGUACUUCUCAGCGAUGAGGUAAUCAAGGUAAUAGAGGUCGUGGAGGACGACAGCAAGCCCAGGGACGUGUUAAUCAUAUCACACUGCAAGAUGCUCAGAAUCAUCUGGACUUGAUUAUGGGUACAUUAAAUAUUCUUGGUCACUUUGCUAGAGUUUUGAUUGAUUGUGGUGCUACCCAUUCUGUGAUUUCUCAUACAUUUGUUCAAAUGACACGACCUCACCCUACAUCUCUAGGAUUUGAUUUAGAGUUUGCUAUGCCUAGAGGGGACAAAUGUUAUGUUGAUAGUGUUUAUCCAGGGUGUCCAGUGAUGGUAGAUGGUGUGGUUAUGCCAGCUAAUCUUAUCCCGUUAGACAUUGUGGAUUUUGAUGUGAUUUUAGGGGCAUAUUGGUUGCAUUAUAAUUGUGCCCAUAUAGAUUGUUACAGGAAAUCAGUUACUUUUCUUCGUCCUGGACUACCAGAGGUUACUUUUGUGGGUGAAAGAAGUGGGGUGAGACAUGGUGUUAUUUCUGCCAUGAGAGCAAAUAAGUUGUUAUCGAAAGGUUGUCAAGGAUACUUAGCACAUGUGGUGUUAAAUGAUGUUGUUCCUAGUAGUGUGGAGGAAGUUGGAGUAGUCAGGCACUAUCCUGAUGUAUUCCCAGAUGAUUUCCUGGAUGGUCGCCAGACAGAGAUGUGGAGUUUUCUAUUGAUUUGCUUCCAGGUACGGAUCCUAUAUCUUUGACUCCAUAUAAAAUGGCAGCUGAAUUGAGAGAAUUGAAAAUUCAGUUACAGGAAUUAACUGAUAAAGGCUUCAUUCAACCUAGUACUUCACCUUGGGGAGCUCCGGUAUUGUUUGUAAGAAAGAAAGAUGGAACUUUGAGAUUAUGUAUUGAUUACAAGCAAUUGAAUCGGGUAACGAUUAAAAACCGUUAUCCAUUGUCUCAUAUCGAUGAUUUGUUUGAUCAACUCAAGGGUGCAUGUGUGUUCUCUAAGAUUGAUUUGAGAUCUGGCUAUUAUCAGUUGAAGUUUAAAGAUGAAGAUGUACCUAAAACGGCUUUCAGGACCCAUUAUCGACAUUAUGAGUUUUUGGUGAUGCCAUUUGGAUUGACUAAUGCACCAGCAGCUUUCAUGAGGCAAAUGAAUGAAGUAUUCCAGCAAUAUCUUGAUAGGUUUGUCAUUGUUUUUAUUGAUGAUAUUCUGGUAUACUCUAAGUCGAAAGCAUAUCAUAUUCGACAUCUUAACUUGGUAUUAAAGAAAUUGAGAGAGCAUCGGUUAUAUGCCAAGUUUAGCAAAUGCCAGUUUUGGUUGAAUCAAGUGACGUUUUUGGGACAUGUAGUAUCGGCACAAGGAAUUCAAGUUAAUCCUCAAAGGAUUGCAGCAGUGGAGAAUUGGGAACAGCCACGAACCGUCACUAAGGUGUGGAGUUUUCUUGGUUUAGCAGGUUAUUAUCGAUGAUUUGUUCAAGAUUUUUCUAUGAUUGCUUUACCACUAACGAAGUUAACCAGGAAGGAUGUUAAGUUCGAGUGGGACGAGAAUUGUGAGCAAAGUUUCUAGUAGCUGAAAUAUUGCCUCACUCAUGCUCCAGUAUUGGUACUUCCUGAUGAUAACGGUAACUUUGAGAUUUACAGUGAUGCUUCUUUGAAUGGUUUGGGAUGUGUUUUGAUGCAGCAUAAUAGAGUGAUCGCCUAUGCUUCUCGACAGUUGAAGAUUCAUGAAAGGAAUUAUCCUACUCACGAUCUUGAGUUGGCAGCCAUUGUCUUUGCUUUGAAGAUUUGGAGACAUUAUCUCUAUGGUGAGAAAUGUAAGAUCUUCACAGAUCAUAAGAGUCUUCAAUAUCUUUUUACUCAGCAUGAUCUUAAUCUUCGUCAACGAAGGUGGAUGGAGUUACUAAGUGAUUAUGACUGCACUAUUGAGUAUCAUCCGGGUCGUGCAAAUGUGGUAGCUGAUGCACUAAGUAGAAAACCUCAAGGUUGACUUAAUGCUUUGUAUGCUUGCCGUGUUCCUCUUCUUGCAGAUUUGAGACUACUGGAGUAAAGUUGGAGAUCGAAGAACGAAGAGAAGCUUUUCUUGCUAGUUUCCAAGUCAGGCCAGUUUUGGUCGAUCGUGUACUUGAAGCUCAGAUGGUUGAUGAAGAGAUCUAAGAGAUGAUCCAAUUGAGAAAUGAAGGGAAAAAGAAAGACCUCAGGAUUCGGGAAUCGGAUGGCAUGCUUAUGCAGGAGAACAUAAUGUAUGUGCCGAAUAAUGAGGAAUUAAAUAAGGAAAUUUUGGAUGAAGCACAUUGUUCAGCUUAUACGAUGCAUCCAGGAGGAACUAAGAUGUACCAUACCAUUCAACCAUUUUAUUAUUGGCCGGGUAUGAAAAGGGAAAUUUUAGAUUAUGUAAGUAGGUGUAUUGUUUGUUAGCAAGUCAAAGCUGAAAGAAAGAAACCUUUUGGGCGGAUGCAACCACUUCCAGUUCCUCAGUGGAAAUGGGAAAAUAUAACUAUGGAUUUUGUGUAUAAGCUUCCACGUACACAUAAUGGAUUAGAUGGCGUUUGGGUGAUUAUAGAUCGACUUACCAAGUCAGCACACUUCAUUCCAGUGAGGGAAAAGUAUCCCCUGAAUAAAUUGGCUAAGUUGUUCAUCACGAAGAUUGUGAAGUAUCAUGGAGUUCCAGUGAAUAUUAUUUCUGAUCGAGAUCCAAGAUUUACUUCUAAGUUUUGGAUAGCUUUUCAGGAAGCUCUUGGUACAAAACUGCUUUACAGCACUGCUUAUCAUCCUUAAAUAGAUGGACAAUCAGAGAGGACUAUUCAGACGUUAGAGGAUAUGCUGAGAUCUUCAGUGUUACAGUUUGGUGAUUCUUGGCAUGAUUGCCUAGACUUAAUGGAAUUUUCCUACAAUAAUAGUUUUCAUUCGAGCAUUGGUAUGUCACCAUUUGAGGCACUUUAUGGUAGAGUUUGUCGUACGCCAUUGUGUUGGUCAGAGGUUGGCGAAAGAGUGCUAGAGGGCCCAAAGAUUGUGGAUGAGACUACUCAAAAUGUUCAGGUGAUUAAGUCUAACCUGAAGGCAACCCAGGAUCGACAAAAGAGUUUAGCAGAUAGACAUGCUACUGAUCGAGUAUAUGAUGUGGGUAAUUUGGUAUGCUUGAAAUUGUCACCUUGGAGAGGUGUAGUACGGUUUGGAAAGAAAGGCAAGCUAAGUCCUAGGUACAUAGGACCUUAUGAGAUCACUGAAAGGAUUGGUGAAGUUGCUUACAGAUUAGAGUUGCCUCCAGAGUUAUCUAAGAUACAUAAUGUAUUUCAUGUCUCGAUGCUUCGACAUUAUGUUUCAGAUCCUUCACAUGUGAUUCCUCUUCAACCUUAGGAGAUUAAUCCGGAAUUGACGUAUGAUAAGGCACCAGUGACUAUCUUGGAUUGGAAAGACAAGGUUCUAAGGAAUAAGACAGUGAGCUUGGUAAAAGUAUUGUGGAGGAACCACUCAGUGGAAGAAGCUACUUGGGAGACAGAAUAUCAAAUGAGAGAGAUGUAUCCAAGGUUGUUUUAUGAGUAUUAAGUGGAGUGAGUGGUUGUCUGAAUUUCGAGGAUGAAAUUUUCAUCGGGAAAUGUGAAAUGAUAGAAUUACCCUCGGACGUUAUUUGGGGUGUGACUUACGUUUGGUUUAAUUUCAAGAUCCUUGGAACCAAUUAGAACUAAGAUCCUUCAUAGUUUUGGUUGGUGGCUUUUUGGACCACACAACUCCCUAUCACUCUCUCUCUCCUAUCCCGUGUCUCUCUCUUCCCUCUCAGUAUCUCUCUCCUUUCAAACCGUACGAGUGAGUACCAUCGAGCCUCCAAGCACGGAUCGAAGGUUUUGAAGGCACCAUUGUACUCGUGAGGACCCUAUGAACUCACCCAUACCCAUUUCAUGUAAGAAACCUUUCGAUUUCACGUUGAAAACUAGAGGUCCGAUUUGAGUACUAUUCAUGAACUUUGUAAUGGUUGGUUUUUAGGACAAUCCAAGCCCACAGUGAGCUUUAGAAUGUUCUCACGAAACUCGGGGAUGUUCGUUUGAAGGUUUUGGACGUUGGGAUCACAAGGUUCGAAGGUGGGCGGUUUUGGUGAAAUUUCCCGACGUGAUUUCAAAGGAUUUGGAAGUUUUUAAAGGUAUAGCCUUCUUCCUCUCGUAAUUUGUGAAGUUUUGGUGAAAAUUUCAUGGAAA